RNAcentral lists this transfer RNA (71 nucleotides) under Russula ochroleuca. It matches the Rfam family "tRNA". From Rfam's summary of the family: Transfer RNA (tRNA) molecules are approximately 80 nucleotides in length. The record is from Rfam by way of RNAcentral. Lineage: Eukaryota; Fungi; Basidiomycota; Agaricomycetes; Russulales; Russulaceae.
GGUCAGGUAGCUCAGUGGUAGAGCACCUGGUAUAUAUCCAGACGACCUGGGUUCAAAUCCCAGUCUGGUCA